Molecule: long non-coding RNA, 831 nt
Filed under: Vigna radiata
Lineage: Eukaryota; Viridiplantae; Streptophyta; Magnoliopsida; Fabales; Fabaceae
Description: long non-coding RNA (VRAD_LNC002516)
Source: RNAcentral
UUUCACUCAUUUACCAGUCAACUUUAUAGGCAGUCCUUUCUGUCCAAAUCGCAUGUAUCAUCUUUAGACCUUGACAAUUUCUUAUAUCUUUUUUUUUUCGUAUCUUUCUUCUCUAAUUAGCAUUUGUAUUUCAGUGUUACUCUUCCUUCCAAGGAGACGACAGUUAAGUGUUGUGAUGAGCUUGAUCAGGUGGCUAAGGUAAAAUGAUUUACUUUGCAUUACAACAUAAGUUUCCCAAUUUUGGAUCGAUAGUUGGUGCGUUUAUCUAAAUUUUAGGCUAAUUUAAUAUUGGUGGUGUUUCUUAUCCAACUCAUUUAUGGAGCGUGCAGAACAAUGAUUAUAUAACUAACACCAGUGGUUCCCUCAUGCUCUAUAUUUUCUUUUCUUGGAGGUUUCGCUCGAGGUAACUUGAUCACAUUAUGGAUGAAGUUCAAGACAUGCAGAAUGAUACAUUCACUAGUAAAGAAGGAUUUAAAGGCGCUAUAACUAGUCUAAAAUUGGGUUUUAACGUCAUCUUAUAAACGUUAGACCACAAAACAUCCAACAUAAAUUAUUGACCGAUGAUAUUUUUGUAAAUAAAUAAGAAUAUAGACGUCAGUUCGGAGGAUCAUUGACGUCUAUAAUAUACUAGACAUUGGGGUCCCUCCUAACUGACAUCUAUAUGUCUGACAGGUAGAUAAAAAGUCAUUUCUUUCCGCCAUAUAGACAUCGUUUAAGAGGGGCACUGACGUCUAUAAUAUUACAGACGUUAGUGCCCCCUAACUGACGUCUAUAUGUAUAUCAUGUAGGUGAAAAGUCAUUUCUUUUCGUCAUCUAAACGUUAGAUCCCGC